Molecule: ribosomal RNA, 253 nt
Filed under: uncultured bacterium
Lineage: Bacteria
Description: partial 16S ribosomal RNA
Rfam family: Bacterial small subunit ribosomal RNA
Source: RNAcentral
UACGGGGGGGGCAAGCGUUGUUCGGAAUUACUGGGCGUAAAGGGCUCGUAGGUGGCCAACUAAGUCAGACGUGAAAUCCCUCAGCUUAACUGGGGAACUGCGUCUGAUACUGGAUGGCUUGAGUUUGGGAGAGGGAUGCGGAAUUCCAGGUGUAGCGGUGAAAUGCGUAGAUAUCUGGAGGAACACCGGUGGCGAAGGCGACUCUUUGGCCUGUAACUGACGCUGAGGCGCGAAAGCGUGGGGAGCAAACAGG